Long non-coding RNA from Nycticebus coucang (slow loris), 1102 nucleotides. RefSeq lists it as uncharacterized. The record is from RefSeq and is a predicted model, not a curated record. The transcript is spliced from 4 exons. NCBI's taxonomy places the organism in Eukaryota, Metazoa, Chordata, Mammalia, Primates, Lorisidae.
GAGAACCACAGAUGCGCCAGCAACUUCUGAACUACCUCUCCUACAUCUAGGACAGGGCGCAUCUUUCAUCUUUGACUUCAAAGCAUAAAAACCAUGACUGGAAGAAGCUUGAGAUGGGGAUGUUGUUGACAACAAUAUGAAAAUACAGAAAAUCGAGACAUUUGUCUUCAGAUAGUCUGCUAUAAUUAAGCGUUUAUUUCAUAGCCACAUAAUGAGAAAUGAACAUUCAGGAAGUGAUCCAACAGUUGGAAUCUUGGCCAUCUACAGUCAUCUUAAAAUGUUCAGCCUCCUCUUUGCUCAUGGCGAAAGUACAAAGGUGGAUCCGAGCGCCAGCCAGGGCCACCUGCGUCUCUGAUAUCCAUUCCAGAUGUUGACCAGACUGCACGGAGCCGGGCUCGUGGCACCGGCCUGAGCUGGCCUCCUCCUCCAGGUGGGAUUCCUCAGGCUGCUUCCCCCACGCCCUCAGCCUCACCAGACACACUAAACUCCCACCACUUUUCCCAACCCUCAUUUUCCUUCCCUAAUUCCUCACUUGGGUGGGUGGUGGGGUGGGGGCUGUCUAGUGACAAGGCCCCUCACAUGGUCUCACUUACCACCUUGCCUCUUCAAAAUGAGAAACCUAAAGCAAAGUAAAUAAAAUGGGAAAAAAAAAAAAAAAAAAAAAGAGCCCUGAUGUAGUUUGCUAAUGCUCUUUGCCAGCCAGCCGGGUACAACUUAUGCAAGUUCCCUCUGAGUUUCCCUGAGAGGCUGACAGUCCCAUCUGACCCCCUGUGCCUGCCCAGGGGCUCAUAGUGGCUCUGUCUGUAUGUGAGGGAUUUUAUGCUAUCCUAUGCUAACUUCCUGAUAAAACAUUGCUAAGCAUAGAAAUAUAUCAUAAAUCUUGCAGGAGCCAACUUCAUUUAUCUGAAUGUUGGUUACUGUCUAGUGUGGGUAAACAAAUGCCAGGGCAUUUAUAACCCUCUGGGGGACCACAGAGAAGAGCUGUUAACACUCUGGCCCAGGGAGUAUUGCUCCCCGUCCUGAGGACGGCAACGAUUCUGGGCCUGAGGCCUGUCCCUCUCAGUUCCCUGAGGGCCAGCAGGGUCGGGCACUUGACAAGCAC